This 1510-nucleotide ribosomal RNA is filed under the name Helicobacter pylori. RNAcentral's name for it is "bacterial SSU rRNA". It matches the Rfam family "Bacterial small subunit ribosomal RNA". The record is from RNAcentral. Lineage: Bacteria; Pseudomonadati; Campylobacterota; Epsilonproteobacteria; Campylobacterales; Helicobacteraceae.
UUUUAUGGAGAGUUUGAUCCUGGCUCAGAGUGAACGCUGGCGGCGUGCCUAAUACAUGCAAGUCGAACGAUGAAGCUUCUAGCUUGCUAGAAUGCUGAUUAGUGGCGCACGGGUGAGUAAUGCAUAGGUCAUGUGCCUCUUAGUUUGGGAUAGCCAUUGGAAACGAUGAUUAAUACCAGAUACUCCCUACGGGGGAAAGAUUUAUCGCUAAGAGAUCAGCCUAUGUCCUAUCAGCUUGUUGGUAAGGUAAUGGCUUACCAAGGCUAUGACGGGUAUCCGGCCUGAGAGGGUGAACGGACACACUGGAACUGAGACACGGUCCAGACUCCUACGGGAGGCAGCAGUAGGGAAUAUUGCUCAAUGGGGGAAACCCUGAAGCAGCAACGCCGCGUGGAGGAUGAAGGUUUUAGGAUUGUAAACUCCUUUUGUUAGAGAAGAUAAUGACGGUAUCUAACGAAUAAGCACCGGCUAACUCCGUGCCAGCAGCCGCGGUAAUACGGAGGGUGCAAGCGUUACUCGGAAUCACUGGGCGUAAAGAGCGCGUAGGCGGGAUAGUCAGUCAGGUGUGAAAUCCUAUGGCUUAACCAUAGAACUGCAUUUGAAACUACUAUUCUAGAGUGUGGGAGAGGUAGGUGGAAUUCUUGGUGUAGGGGUAAAAUCCGUAGAGAUCAAGAGGAAUACUCAUUGCGAAGGCGACCUGCUGGAACAUUACUGACGCUGAUUGCGCGAAAGCGUGGGGAGCAAACAGGAUUAGAUACCCUGGUAGUCCACGCCCUAAACGAUGGAUGCUAGUUGUUGGAGGGCUUAGUCUCUCCAGUAAUGCAGCUAACGCAUUAAGCAUCCCGCCUGGGGAGUACGGUCGCAAGAUUAAAACUCAAAGGAAUAGACGGGGACCCGCACAAGCGGUGGAGCAUGUGGUUUAAUUCGAAGAUACACGAAGAACCUUACCUAGGCUUGACAUUGAGAGAAUCCGCUAGAAAUAGUGGAGUGUCUGGCUUGCUAGACCUUGAAAACAGGUGCUGCACGGCUGUCGUCAGCUCGUGUCGUGAGAUGUUGGGUUAAGUCCCGCAACGAGCGCAACCCCCUUUCUUAGUUGCUAACAGGUCAUGCUGAGAACUCUAAGGAUACUGCCUCCGUAAGGAGGAGGAAGGUGGGGACGACGUCAAGUCAUCAUGGCCCUUACGCCUAGGGCUACACACGUGCUACAAUGGGGUGCACAAAGAGAAGCAAUACUGCGAAGUGGAGCCAAUCUUCAAAACACCUCUCAGUUCGGAUUGUAGGCUGCAACUCGCCUGCAUGAAGCUGGAAUCGCUAGUAAUCGCAAAUCAGCCAUGUUGCGGUGAAUACGUUCCCGGGUCUUGUACUCACCGCCCGUCACACCAUGGGAGUUGUGUUUGCCUUAAGUCAGGAUGCUAAAUUGGCUACUGCCCACGGCACACACAGCGACUGGGGUGAAGUCGUAACAAGGUAACCGUAGGUGAACCUGCGGUUGGAUCACCUCCUUUCUAGA